GACGAACGCUGGCGGCGUGCCUAAUACAUGCAAGUAGAACGCUGAAGGAGGAGCUUGCUUCUCUGGAUGAGUUGCGAACGGGUGAGUAACGCGUAGGUAACCUGCCUGGUAGCGGGGGAUAACUAUUGGAAACGCUAGCUAAUACCGCAUAAGAGUAGAUGUUGCAUGACAUUUGCUUAAAAGGUGCAAUUGCAUCACUACCAGAUGGACCUGCGUUGUAUUAGCUAGUUGGUGGGGUAACGGCUCACCAAGGCGACGAUACAUAGCCGACCUGAGAGGGUGAUCGGCCACACUGGGACUGAGACACCGCCCAGACUCCUACGGGAGGCAGCAGUAGGGAAUCUUCGGCAAUGGACGGAAGUCUGACCGAGCAAAGCCGCGUGAGUGAAGAAGGGUUUCGGAUCGUAAAGCUCUGUUGUAAGAGAAGAACGAGUGUGAGAGUGGAAAGUUCACACUGUGACGGUAUCUUACCAGAAAGGGACGGCUAACUACGUG
RNAcentral lists this ribosomal RNA (495 nucleotides) under uncultured bacterium. RNAcentral's name for it is "partial 16S ribosomal RNA". It matches the Rfam family "Bacterial small subunit ribosomal RNA", at positions 28 to 507 of the family's 1533-position model. The record is from RNAcentral.